RNAcentral lists this ribosomal RNA (547 nucleotides) under uncultured bacterium. RNAcentral describes it as "bacterial SSU rRNA". It matches the Rfam family "Bacterial small subunit ribosomal RNA", at positions 355 to 896 of the family's 1533-position model. The record is from RNAcentral.
UGGGGAAUAUUGCGCAAUGGGGGGAACCCUGACGCAGCCAUGCCGCGUGAAUGAAGAAGGCCUUCGGGUUGUAAAGUUCUUUCGGUAUUGAGGAAGGUUGAUGUGUUAAUAGCACAUCAAAUUGACGUUAAAUACAGAAGAAGCACCGGCUAACUCCGUGCCAGCAGCCGCGGUAAUACGGAGGGUGCGAGCGUUAAUCGGAAUAACUGGGCGUAAAGGGCACGCAGGCGGUUAUUUAAGUGAGGUGUGAAAGCCCCGGGCUUAACCUGGGAAUUGCAUUUCAGACUGGGUAACUAGAGUACUUUAGGGAGGGGUAGAAUUCCACGUGUAGCGGUGAAAUGCGUAGAGAUGUGGAGGAAUACCGAAGGCGAAGGCAGCCCCUUGGGAAUGUACUGACGCUCAUGUGCGAAAGCGCGGGGAGCAAACAGGAUUAGAUACCCUGGUAGUCCACGCUGUAAACGCUGUCGAUUUGGGGGUUGGGGUUUAACUCUGGCGCCCGUAGCUAACGUGAUAAAUCGACCGCCUGGGGAGUACGGCCGCAAGGUUA